RNAcentral lists this ribosomal RNA (431 nucleotides) under uncultured Alphaproteobacteria bacterium. RNAcentral describes it as "bacterial SSU rRNA". It matches the Rfam family "Bacterial small subunit ribosomal RNA", at positions 958 to 1385 of the family's 1533-position model. Lineage: Bacteria; Pseudomonadati; Pseudomonadota; Alphaproteobacteria. The record is from RNAcentral.
AACGCGAAGAACCUUACCAGCUCUUGACAUGUCCAGUAUGGGGCCGAGAGAUCGACUCCUUCAGUUCGGCUGGCUGGAACACAGGUGCUGCAUGGCUGUCGUCAGCUCGUGUCGUGAGAUGUUGGGUUAAGUCCCGCAACGAGCGCAACCCUCAUCUUCAGUUGCCAUCAGGUAAAGCUGGGCACUCUGGAGAAACUGCCGGUGACAAGCCGGAGGAAGGCGGGGAUGACGUCAAGUCCUCAUGGCCUUUAUGGGCUGGGCUACACACGUGCUACAAUGGCGGUGACAGAGGGACGCGAAGGGGCAACCCUUGGCCAAUCUCAAAAAGCCGUCUCAGUUCGGAUUGUUCUCUGCAACUCGAGAGCAUGAAGCUGGAAUCGCUAGUAAUCGCGGAUCAGCACGCCGCGGUGAAUACGUUCCCGGGCCUUGUA